GAUCAUGGCUCAGGAUGAACGCUGGCGGCGUGUUAACACAUGCAAGUCGAGCGAGAAGCUCAUGACAGAUACUCGGUUGAUGGAUUGAGUGGAAAGCGGCGGACGGGUGAGUAACGCGUAGGCAACCUGCCCCCGUGCAGAGGGAUAGCCUCGGGAAACCGGGAUUAAAACCUCAUAAUGCGUGACUGAGACAUCUCAGACACGCCAAAGAUUUAUCGGCACGGGAUGGGCCUGCGUCUGAUUAGUUAGUUGGUGGGGUAACGGCCUACCAAGGCGACGAUCAGUAGCCGACCUGAGAGGGUGAUCGGCCACAUUGGAACUGAGACACGGUCCAAACUCCUACGGGAGGCAGCAGUGGAGAAUCUUGCACAAUGGGCGAAAGCCUGAAUGCAGCAACGCCGCGUGAAGGAUGAAGGCCCUUGGGUCGUAAACUUCUGUUCUAAGGGAAGAUAAUGACGGUACCUUAGGAGCAAGUCCCGGCUAACUACGUGCCAGCAGCAGC
RNAcentral lists this ribosomal RNA (502 nucleotides) under uncultured bacterium. RNAcentral describes it as "bacterial SSU rRNA". It matches the Rfam family "Bacterial small subunit ribosomal RNA", at positions 15 to 518 of the family's 1533-position model. The record is from RNAcentral.